Molecule: long non-coding RNA, 1156 nt
Filed under: Apteryx rowi (Okarito brown kiwi)
Lineage: Eukaryota; Metazoa; Chordata; Aves; Apterygiformes; Apterygidae
Description: lncRNA (ENSARWG00000000335.1)
Source: RNAcentral
AUGCCAGAGCGCCUUCAAUUUAUUCUGUUAUUCAGGUUUAGCAUCCAUGAUGCACUGGCUCUGCCCUGGUCAGAAAUGAGAUGUGUUACACUUUACUUAAGGCAAGAGAAACCGUGUCCUCAGCACCUUGUUCUUGGCUGUUUUACUCCCGUUAUCAGUAAUGCACAUUCAGCUUGUUCUUCCACCCUGGCUCGAUGUUACAAAUUCAAAGGCAGCGCACUGAGCCCAGCUCUGGCAACCUCACUGACUGACGUUUGUUUUUUAGUGACUGUUAUGCUGGAGGAAGGUGUUCCCUGGACGGUUUUGGAGACAGAAGUGCUGUUUUUGCUAGAGCAGCAAACUGGACUGCAAAAAGCAUUGCCGAAAAGAGCAGCAGAGAAGCUGCCUCUGAGCCUGGGAAACCCCUUCAGAGCUAUAGAGAUCGCACACAGGAAACAAGCACGGCUCCGCUUGUAAGCAUAGCAAGUCAGACAGAACAAAUGAAAUAGCUAGUGAUUGUAUGACGAAAAAGAAGGCCUGGUGAUGGAGAUCCCCAGUGAUAUUUUGCUGUUUCUGAGGACAUAGGCAAGGUAGGAUUUUUAACUAGUGAUGAUAUGUUUGUAAAAACUAGAUAAGCUUUCAGAAAUACAAAACCUUCUCUUAGAUACGUAUCAAUUAUAUCACACUUAACUAAACUCUCAACAGUUGUUCUCAGCUUGCGCUUAGUUUGGAGACCUGCUGCUUCCAUUUCAGACCUGAUGGAAGACUUGUGUGCCUGAAAGCUUGCCUAAUUCCUAGCUCUACUGGUUGCUCUAAUAAGAGAAAUUGCCUCCUAUUUACAAAACUUGUUGAGAAACAGGGAUGGCAAUACCUUGUUCUAUUCAAGGUCUUUCCUGUUCAUCCCUAGCAAAAUCCGAAAGUUGGAGUUUUGCUCUACAUUCCCCAAAAUAAUGUGAAGAUAGGAUAAUAGUAGAAAGAUCCUGUUAAUACUUUGCUUGGAAUCCAGAGCAGACUUCCAGUUAUUUCCUAAAACUCCAGGGAGUACCACUGUAACUUUGAGGAGCACAAAACUCGCAUUCUUUGUUCCAGCUUGCUCCACAGUCUCAGUGUUGUGCUGCUUAAUUUCUGAAGGGGAAAAGAACAACCGAGGGAGAUUUCAGGGACUCAGUGUUUUUUC